RNAcentral lists this long non-coding RNA (219 nucleotides) under Mytilus galloprovincialis (Mediterranean mussel). Lineage: Eukaryota; Metazoa; Mollusca; Bivalvia; Mytilida; Mytilidae. The record is from RNAcentral.
UUGGACAUAGUGACCAUUUGCCAUUGGACAUAGUGACCAUUUGCCAUUAGACAUAGUGACCAUUCGCCAUUAGAUUCACUGGCCAAAAAAGCAAAAGUGUCGGACAAAAAGCAAAAUAAUCGGACAAAAAGCAAAAUAAUCGGACAAAAAGCAAAAGUGUCGGACAAAAAACAAAAUAAUCGGACAAAAAGCAAAACGGACAAAAAGCAAAAGUGUCGG